AGGAGACUUAAUAAAAUAAUCGAUAACUAUUGGAUGGGGCAGUUUAGUAGUUGGACCACUGCUCCAAAAGAAGUAAAGGAAUUGUGGUGGAAUGAGUUCAAGGCAGAUGAAUUGGGGACGGAACCAACAUUUAUGGCUACAUUUGAACGCACCUUUCAGAAAAAAGAUAAGACAUGGACCGGCAAUCGAGCAAAAGUUAUUAAGGUAUGUAAGGUUAUAUUUUGUAUUUAUAUAUAUGAAGUUUUUUUUUAUUUUUAU
Long non-coding RNA from Syzygium oleosum, 258 nucleotides. RefSeq lists it as uncharacterized. NCBI's taxonomy places the organism in Eukaryota, Viridiplantae, Streptophyta, Magnoliopsida, Myrtales, Myrtaceae. The record is from RefSeq and is a predicted model, not a curated record. The transcript is spliced from 2 exons.